Molecule: ribosomal RNA, 252 nt
Filed under: Paenibacillus sp.
Lineage: Bacteria; Bacillati; Bacillota; Bacilli; Caryophanales; Paenibacillaceae
Also listed under: 1 other name
Description: partial 16S ribosomal RNA
Rfam family: Bacterial small subunit ribosomal RNA
Source: RNAcentral
UACGUAGGGGGCAAGCGUUGUCCGGAAUUAUUGGGCGUAAAGCGCGCGCAGGCGGUGAUUUAAGUUUGGUGUUUAAGCCCGAGGCUCAACCUCGGUUCGCAUCGAAAACUGGGUCACUUGAGUGUAGGAGAGGAAAGUGGAAUUCCACGUGUAGCGGUGAAAUGCGUAGAGAUGUGGAGGAACACCAGUGGCGAAGGCGACUUUCUGGCCUAUAACUGACGCUGAGGCGCGAAAGCGUGGGGAGCAAACAGG